Molecule: long non-coding RNA, 728 nt
Organism: Benincasa hispida (wax gourd)
Lineage: Eukaryota; Viridiplantae; Streptophyta; Magnoliopsida; Cucurbitales; Cucurbitaceae
Source: RefSeq, a predicted model, not a curated record
UUCUCCCCACACAAAAGAAAAAAAAAACCCUUCUUCCCAAACUUCUUCCUCCUGUCGCCGCCGCCACCCUCACUACCUAGACCGACCUCGCCGUCGCCUCCCUCACUGCCACUUGUUCGCCCGUGGAUCGCCGCUGCUCGUCGUCACUGUCGAAGUGUCGCUCGCGCCCAUGGGUCGCUGGCGCUCGUCGUCACAAUCGGAGUACCACUCGUUCGCCCGUGGGUCGCUGCUGUUCGUCGUCACGUCGUCUCUUCCACGCCUUUCCUCCAUUCGUAUAGUCACCGAUCGUCUUCCAGCCGCCAGAUCUGUGGUGCAGUAGCAGAUUCGAAGCCUAGCCACCAGACACGCAGACUUCUUUCGGCCAUUGUUCGUCGCAAUGCUGCCGGAAACCACGCGCCGCCAGACCUUUCUUUCGUUCGCCAUCGUUUUGUUGAUUUUGAGUGUUGAGAUUGGUUGGAUUUGGGAGGAUUUUGAGGUGGCCCACCAAGUUUGAAGUUUAAGACCAAUUUGGGGGGAAAUUUUGUUAAGACACUUCAAGGCUUUGAUUGGCAAGGAAGGGACAGGCUUGCUUGAACUAAUUUAGAUUUACUUUGAGGUAAGGGUAGAGAUACAUACAUCGACGAUGGCGCAACGGAAUUCGUGAUCGUGCCACUGGGACUAGUUUUUACGCUUCCGCAUCAUGAAAUUUAGAGUCCUUAUUUUUCCCUUAAUGUUUAGUUUUACUAUUU